GCUCAGAACGAACGCUGGCGGCGUGGAUAAGACAUGCAAGUCGAACGAGAGAAUUGCUAGCUUGCUAAUAAUUCUCUAGUGGCGCACGGGUGAGUAACACGUGAGUAACCUGCCCCCGAGAGCGGGAUAGCCCUGGGAAACUGGGAUUAAUACCGCAUAGUAUCGAAAGAUUAAAGCAGCAAUGCGCUUGGGGAUGGGCUCGCGGCCUAUUAGUUAGUUGGUGAGGUAACGGCUCACCAAGGCGAUGACGGGUAGCCGGUCUGAGAGGAUGUCCGGCCACACUGGAACUGAGACACGGUCCAGACACCUACGGGUGGCAGCAGUCGAGAAUCAUUCACAAUGGGGGAAACCCUGAUGGUGCGACGCCGCGUGGGGGAAUGAAGGUCUUCGGAUUGUAAACCCCUGUCAUGUGGGAGCAAAUUAAAAAGAUAGUACCACAAGAGGAAGAGACGGCUAACUCUGUGCCAGCAGCCGCGGUAAUACAGAGGUCUCAAGCGUUGUUCGGAAUCACUGGGCGUAAAGCGUGCGUAGGCUGUUUCGUAAGUCGUGUGUGAAAGGCGCGGGCUCAACCCGCGGACGGCACAUGAUACUGCGAGACUAGAGUAAUGGAGGGGGAACCGGAAUUCUCGGUGUAGCAGUGAAAUGCGUAGAUAUCGAGAGGAACACUCGUGGCGAAGGCGGGUUCCUGGACAUUAACUGACGCUGAGGCACGAAGGCCAGGGGAGCGAAAGGGAUUAGAUACCCCUGUAGUCCUGGCAGUAAACGGUGCACGCUUGGUGUGCGGGGAAUCGACCCCCUGCGUGCCGGAGCUAACGCGUUAAGCGUGCCGCCUGGGGAGUACGGUCGCAAGAUUAAAACUCAAAGAAAUUGACGGGGACCCGCACAAGCGGUGGAGUAUGUGGCUUAAUUCGAUGCAACGCGAAGAACCUUACCUGGGCUUGACAUGUAAUGAACAACAUGUGAAAGCAUGCGACUCUUCGGAGGCGUUACACAGGUGCUGCAUGGCCGUCGUCAGCUCGUGUCGUGAGAUGUUUGGUUAAGUCCAGCAACGAGCGCAACCCCUGUUGCCAGUUACCAGCACGUGAAGGUGGGGACUCUGGCGAGACUGCCCAGAUCAACUGGGAGGAAGGUGGGGACGACGUCAGGUCAGUAUGGCCCUUAUGCCCAGGGCUGCACACGUACUACAAUGCCCAGUACAGAGGGGGCCGAAGCCGCGAGGCGGAGGAAAUCCUAAAAACUGGGCCCAGUUCGGACUGUAGGCUGCAACCCGCCUACACGAAGCCGGAAUCGCUAGUAAUGGCGCAUCAGCUACGGCGCCGUGAAUACGUUCCCGGGUCUUGUACACACCGCCCGUCACAUCAUGGAAGCCGGUCGCACCCGAAGUAUCUGAAGCCAACCGCAAGGAGGCGGUCCUAUGAGACUGGUAACUGGGAUGAA
This 1437-nucleotide ribosomal RNA is filed under the name Akkermansia muciniphila. RNAcentral's name for it is "bacterial SSU rRNA". It matches the Rfam family "Bacterial small subunit ribosomal RNA". Lineage: Bacteria; Pseudomonadati; Verrucomicrobiota; Verrucomicrobiia; Verrucomicrobiales; Akkermansiaceae. The record is from RNAcentral.